This 341-nucleotide long non-coding RNA is filed under the name Heterocephalus glaber (naked mole-rat). Its description in RNAcentral is "lncRNA (ENSHGLG00100051920.1)". Lineage: Eukaryota; Metazoa; Chordata; Mammalia; Rodentia; Bathyergidae. The record is from RNAcentral.
GCCUGCUAGGAUCCACCCCUUAAAGGUUCCAGCACUUCCCGCUGAGCCACCUCCCCUAAGGUUCCUGCCCGGGAUUAGAGAUGGCAACUCACCGGCCGGCUGAGUGAAACGGAGCCUCCAAGAGAAGCACUUCUGUGCAGAAAUGGCGGAAUAUGCUCAGGCUUUCGGACAGUAAUGAGGCAGCAGGAACACUUGCUUAUGUUUAAGGAAUUUCUCACGGGUCUACUUCACCUGAUAAUGGACACAAAUACUCCCUCUACCUUAACUUCGAGAAGAGCCCGAACCCUCAAAGUGAGGCGAGCUUGGGUGGAAGGAGGGGAAACAGAUGGAGAGGAGCCCUG